RNAcentral lists this ribosomal RNA (338 nucleotides) under Aristeus sp. MCBD-2010. RNAcentral describes it as "eukaryotic LSU rRNA". It matches the Rfam family "Eukaryotic large subunit ribosomal RNA", at positions 83 to 380 of the family's 3401-position model. The record is from RNAcentral. Lineage: Eukaryota; Metazoa; Arthropoda; Malacostraca; Decapoda; Aristeidae.
GUAAGGGCGACUGAAACGGGAGUAGCCCAGCGCAAAGCCUCGUGCUUCCUAACGGGGCACGAGGGGUGCUGCGUUUGGGAGAGGUCUUGCACGCGGUCCCGCGCCGCCUAAGUUGUACAUGAAUGACUCUAAUGCCCAAGGAGGGUGUCAGGCCCGUGUGGCGGUAAAAGACCCCCGAAGGGGGGAAGGUACGGGACUGCGGAAAGGGCCUCUCCUUAGAGUCGGGUUGCCUGAAACCGCAACCUAAAGUAGGUGGUAAACUCCAUCUAAGGCUAAAUACGACCACGAGACCGAUAGCGAACAAGUACCGUGAGGGAAAGUUGAAACAGAACCCUGUA